GGUGAACGCUGGCGGCGUGCCUAAUACAUGCAAGUCGAGCGAACGGACGAGAAGCUUGCUUCUCUGAUGUUAGCGGCGGACGGGUGAGUAACACGUGGAUAACCUACCUAUAAGACUGGGAUAACUUCGGGAAACCGGAGCUAAUACCGGAUAAUAUUUUGAACCGCAUGGUUCAAAAGUGAAAGACGGUCUUGCUGUCACUUAUAGAUGGAUCCGCGCUGCAUUAGCUAGUUGGUAAGGUAACGGCUUACCAAGGCAACGAUGCAUAGCCGACCUGAGAGGGUGAUCGGCCACACUGGAACUGAGACACGGUCCAGACUCCUACGGGAGGCAGCAGUAGGGAAUCUUCCGCAAAGGGCGAAAGCCUGACGGAGCAACGCCGCGUGAGUGAUGAAGGUCUUCGGAUCGUAAAACUCUGUUAUUAGGGAAGAACAUAUGUGUAAGUAACUGUGCACAUCUUGACGGUACCUAAUCAGAAAGCCACGGCUAACUACGUG
RNAcentral lists this ribosomal RNA (497 nucleotides) under uncultured bacterium. Its description in RNAcentral is "partial 16S ribosomal RNA". It matches the Rfam family "Bacterial small subunit ribosomal RNA", at positions 28 to 507 of the family's 1533-position model. The record is from RNAcentral.